Molecule: long non-coding RNA, 2781 nt
Organism: Amborella trichopoda
Lineage: Eukaryota; Viridiplantae; Streptophyta; Magnoliopsida; Amborellales; Amborellaceae
Source: RefSeq, a predicted model, not a curated record
ACAACUUUGAAUGGUGUUAAAGAAAUAUAAAAAAGAGAAUGAUGAAUCAUCAUCAUGAGAGCGAAAUUUCUUCUCUCUUUAAAAAUUUGGUCUGUCACAACUUCACCUAGGGCUCUUUUCCUCUGUGACAUACCCUCCCGGCACCGAUUCCCUCUCUAAAAUCUCUCCUUUUCCCAUUUCUAUCACUUUUCUCUCUAAACUGAGGGCGCCAAAACGAAAAUCGAUUCGUUGAUUCUUUCGACAAUGGUGGGCGAGGGGGAUGGCUGGAAUGGAGAGCAGCAAUGGUGGAUGGGUAGUAGCCGCAUUUCAAAGAGCAAAGCAAUCAAAAAAGGAUACUCUCUAGGGUCUAGAUGUUAUCUUUUCUCCCUUAGAGGGUGGGUACUGCUGUUGAUCCAAUGUCAUAUUAGGCAUCUGGCUAGGAUAGGGUUGUGGGAGAUCUGUAGAAUCAGGCCAUGUAGCCUAGAUUUGCCUUUGAUUAUCGAGUUGUGUCUUCGGUUUAGGUCGGAGACUGGCACAUUUCCAUUUUCUUGUGGAGAGUUAGGACCCACUUUAGAUGAUGCCACCCACAUCCUGGGUGUGAGGAGUGAGGGGGAUCCCUACGUAUGUACCCCCCUUGGUCCAGAGGAGACUUCGAUUGGGAUCUUCUUUGAAAUUUUUGAUGGGGACCACCCAGAUCCUAGCAUGGGAAGCAAGGAUGCUCUCCAGCUUAGUUGGCUUAAGAAGGAGUUUGGUCCUCAGAGGGACCAGCACCAGGCACAGGAAGGCUGUGUCAUUAGGGGUAGGGCAAUAGCGACUGAGUUGACCAAUCAUAGGACUCGCUAGAGGAGGGGGGAGGCAGUUGACCCCCCAGUAGCUGAUGAGGCCAUGGAUGAUGAGGGUGAUAGUGAGGCCAUGGUGACAGAGAAGGAGGAGAUGGAGAUGGUGGUUGGCGGUGUUGAGAGGGCCGCCGAGGAGGUAGAGAGACUCUUGGGGGUUGAGGAGGUUGGGAAAGCUAGCACCACCAUUGCUGAUGAUGAGGCGGCCAACCCCACCUACGUUGUAGAGAGUCGGUCGAGAGGCUGAGAGCCAAGGCACUGACAACAGAGUUUCAGUGGGUCUAGGAAGCAGAACAGAGGAGAUUCAGGGCUGAUGUGGCCAUUGAUGAUAAUGUGGAGUUGAUGGGAGAGGAGUAGACACGCUCGCUGAGAGCAUUUGUAGUGUACCUCUUCGGCUCCUUUCUAUUUGCAGACAUGUCCUGAGGGAGGACCAAACACAAGAUGAUUUGGACCAUUCGUGAUUUGGUGAGGCUGGAGAGGGUGGCAUGGGGACCUGCCAUCCUUGGCUUCUUACUACAUAGUCUGAGGCAGGUCGCCCUUGGACAAGUGCACGCCCUGGGUGGUUGCUUGCAGGUGUGGGCUUGGGAGCACAUUGCGACCCCUUGCCGCCCUAUUUCUUCAGUUUUUUGGGGUUUGGGAAAUAGACGAGACAUUUGCACUUGUUUUAUACCCUAUUCUUGGAUUCCCUAAAGGAGCAAGAGAUGAGUUAUCUUCCCUUUAGUCCCUUAAUUUCAUUGUUUUCGCUUAAGCUGGUAAAAUUUUGACUUUAACUCUUGUUCUAUUAUCAAAUUAUUUGGUCUCCAAUUGGAGGUAGUCCUCGGGCAAGUGUGUACGUAGAGAGUGCGUACGCUUUCUUGGCAAGGAUCCACAUGAUUUGUUUAGAUGUGGUCGAGAUGCAUCGAUCACAGAGGGUGAUGCGACAGCUAGAGUGGCCACAGCCCCAUUUACAUCUUUACUCCAUUUUGGGAGCCUCCUACAUCAUGAGUGGGACUUCAAAGGCAUAUGAUGAGGAUAUCAGGCAUGGGUCUGUGAGUGGAGGACCAGGGAGUAGAGGAGAGCAAAGAUCAAUCACUUAGAGAUGCCCCUAUCUGGUUAUGAGCACAUUUAUUGGGCGCUCUGGAGGGAUAUUGUCUUCCUAUAGAGCUGGGGUCAAGAGAUCGAACACCGACUGAGCAAUGCCUGUGCUGAGUGCGAGAGGGAAGGUCCAUUGAUAAGGAGGUUCAGCUGAAGGAGCUGAGCAGGAGGAGGCAAGCGCGCACACACACACACAGAUGACGCUCGAUUCCUGAUCGCUCGCUUGCAGAUGGACAUUGAGUGCCUCGAUUCCAGAUCGCUCGCUUGCUGAUGGACAUCGAGUGCCUCGACCCCAGAUCGUUCGCUUGCAUAUGGACAUCGAGCUCCUCAGAGGCGGGUCUGUCUCAGUUGCUCUUGCUAUUGUCCCAAAGGAGUAUGUCAAUUAACUUAAGGUGGAGAUUCGGCGGCUGAGGGUGGAUAUUGACUGCAUUCACCAAGAAAGGAAUGAGCUGAGGGUGAACGGGUGCUUUUCUUUUAUCUUGUAGAAUGAGCUAAGGGUGAACGGGUGCAGGACGAUACAAUCAUUCUCAUGCGGUCCUAGCAUGCCAUUACCACCUUGGGCACUAUGCCGAUUGCAAGAAGAGGAGACCCCAAGGAUGUGGAGCGUGUCUUGGAGUUCACCUAGCCUCCUGCUCCUGUUCCUAUUGGGAUUAAGAGUGUUGUGACCUCGAGGCCGCCCUAUCAGAGAUGGAGGAGGGUGGGAACAGUUUAACCCCGGUUGAGGACUCCUAGAUCGAGGGAGGGGUGAUUUUGUUUCUUGCACACUCCAGUUUUGUUGUACCUUUUUACUGUCUUUUUCUUCUUUUGUUCGCUUGUAUCACUGUACUGUGGCACUCAAGUGUUGUAUGGAUCUUCCUUACAUCUAUAUGAUGAUUGUUUUUGUUCCAUUCGC